Molecule: long non-coding RNA, 1152 nt
Filed under: Gadus morhua (Atlantic cod)
Lineage: Eukaryota; Metazoa; Chordata; Actinopteri; Gadiformes; Gadidae
Description: lncRNA (ENSGMOG00000031684.1)
Source: RNAcentral
AUGUUAUACAUUAUUACAUUAUUGGCAAAAAGUUAUUCCGUUAUUGGCUCAACAACUUCAUUACAUUAUUGGCAAUUUAUUACGUUAUUGGCUUUAUUACAUUUUUAUUAUUACGUUAUUGCCAGUUAUUACGUUAUUGGCUGUUAUUACAUAAUUUGUUGCUACACUCCCUUACAGACCUACUCAGCACCUCACUCUCUGUCUCACUCCCUCACAGACCCACUCAGCACCUCACUCUCUGUCUCACUCCCUCACAGACCCACUCAGAACAUCACUCUCUGUCUCACUCCCUCACAGACCUACUCAGCACCUCACUCUCUGUCUCACUCCCUCACAGACCCACUCAGCACCUCACUCUCUGUCUCACUCCCUCACAGACCCACUCAGAACAUCUCUCUCUGUCUCACUCCCUUACAGACCCACUCAGAACAUCACUCUCUGUCUCACUCCCUCACAGACCCACUCAGAACAUCACUCUCUGUCUCACUCCCUUACAGACCCACUCAGAAAAUCACUCUCUGUCUCACUCCCUCACAGACCCACUCAGAACAUCACUCUCUGUCUCACUCCCUCACAGACCCACUCAGAACAUCACUCUCUGUCUCACUCCCUCACAGACCCACUCAGAACAUCACUCUCUGUCUCACUCCCUUACAGACCCACUCAGCACCUCACUCUCUGUCUCACUCCCUUACAGACCCACUCAGAACAUCACUCUGUCUCACUCCCUUACAGACCCACUCAGAACAUCACUCUCUGUCUCACUCCCUUACAGACCCACUCAGAACAUCACUCUCUGUCUCACUCCCUUACAGACCCACUCAGAACAUCACUCUGUCUCACUCCCUUACAGACCGACUCAGCACCUCACUCUCUGUCUCACUCCCUUACAGACCCACUCAGCACCUCACUCUCUGUCUCACUCCCUUACAGACCCACUCAGCACCUCACUCUCUGUCUCACUCUUUGUUUCGUCCUCUUUCUCACUCUCUCUCAUUCUCUUCAACGACUGACCUAUUUAUUUCCAUCUAUCUCUACCUCUCACUCCCUCGCCCGCUCUCCUUCUCACUUUCCCAACGCUUCACUCGCCUGCUCUCUCUCACCCUCUCUGUUCCUCUCUCUGGAACACUCGCUCACUCCGUUCCGGAGUGA